AAUGCCACGGUGAAUACGUUCCCGGGCCUUGUACACACCGCCCGUCACACCAUGGGAGUGGGUUGCAAAAGAAGUAGGUAGCUUAACCUUCGGGAGGGCGCUUACCACUUUGUGAUUCAUGACUGGGUGAAGUCGUAACAAGGUAACCGUAGGGGAACCUGCGGUUGGAUCACCUCCUUACCUUAAAGAAGC
This 192-nucleotide ribosomal RNA is filed under the name Escherichia coli. RNAcentral describes it as "partial 16S ribosomal RNA". It matches the Rfam family "Bacterial small subunit ribosomal RNA", at positions 1353 to 1533 of the family's 1533-position model. The record is from RNAcentral. Lineage: Bacteria; Pseudomonadati; Pseudomonadota; Gammaproteobacteria; Enterobacterales; Enterobacteriaceae.